AACCUCCGCAAUGUGAGAAAUCGCGACGGGGGGAUCCCAAGUGCCAUUCUUAACGGGAUGGCUUUUCAUUAGUGUAAAGAGCUUUUGGAAUAAGGGCUGGGCAAGACCGGUGCCAGCCGCCGCGGUAACACCGGCAGCUCUAGUGGUAGCAGUUUUUAUUGGGCCUAAAGCGUCCGUAGCCGGUUUAAUAAGUCUCUGGUGGAAUCCUGUAGCUUAACUGUGGGAAUUGCUGGAGAUACUAUUAGACUUGAGACCGGGAGAGGUUAGAGGUACUCCCAGGGUAGAGGUGAAAUUCUGUAAUCCUGGGAGGACCGCCUGUUGCGAAGGCGUCUAACUGGAACGGUUCUGACGGUGAGGGACGAAAGUUAGGGGCGCGAACCGGAUUAGAUACCCGGGUAGUCCUAACUGUAAACGAUGCGACUUGGUGUUGGGGUGGCUUUGAGCUGCUCCAGUGCCGAAGGGAAGCUGUUAAGUCCGCCGCCUGGGAAGUACGGUCGCAAGACUGAAACUUAAAGGAAUU
RNAcentral lists this ribosomal RNA (520 nucleotides) under uncultured bacterium. Its description in RNAcentral is "bacterial SSU rRNA". It matches the Rfam family "Archaeal small subunit ribosomal RNA", at positions 345 to 866 of the family's 1478-position model. The record is from RNAcentral.